Molecule: ribosomal RNA, 774 nt
Filed under: Acinetobacter baumannii Naval-17
Lineage: Bacteria; Pseudomonadati; Pseudomonadota; Gammaproteobacteria; Moraxellales; Moraxellaceae
Description: bacterial SSU rRNA
Rfam family: Bacterial small subunit ribosomal RNA
Source: RNAcentral
AUGCAAGUCGAGCGGGGGAAGGUAGCUUGCUACUGGACCUAGCGGCGGACGGGUGAGUAAUGCUUAGGAAUCUGCCUAUUAGUGGGGGACAACAUCUCGAAAGGGAUGCUAAUACCGCAUACGUCCUACGGGAGAAAGCAGGGGAUCUUCGGACCUUGCGCUAAUAGAUGAGCCUAAGUCGGAUUAGCUAGUUGGUGGGGUAAAGGCCUACCAAGGCGACGAUCUGUAGCGGGUCUGAGAGGAUGAUCCGCCACACUGGGACUGAGACACGGCCCAGACUCCUACGGGAGGCAGCAGUGGGGAAUAUUGGACAAUGGGGGGAACCCUGAUCCAGCCAUGCCGCGUGUGUGAAGAAGGCCUUAUGGUUGUAAAGCACUUUAAGCGAGGAGGAGGCUACUUUAGUUAAUACCUAGAGAUAGUGGACGUUACUCGCAGAAUAAGCACCGGCUAACUCUGUGCCAGCAGCCGCGGUAAUACAGAGGGUGCGAGCGUUAAUCGGAUUUACUGGGCGUAAAGCGUGCGUAGGCGGCUUAUUAAGUCGGAUGUGAAAUCCCCGAGCUUAACUUGGGAAUUGCAUUCGAUACUGGUGAGCUAGAGUAUGGGAGAGGAUGGUAGAAUUCCAGGUGUAGCGGUGAAAUGCGUAGAGAUCUGGAGGAAUACCGAUGGCGAAGGCAGCCAUCUGGCCUAAUACUGACGCUGAGGUACGAAAGCAUGGGGAGCAAACAGGAUUAGAUACCCUGGUAGUCCAUGCCGUAAACGAUGUCUACUAGCCGU